UCCAGAGGGGGCUAGCGUUGUUCGGAAUCACUGGGCGUAAAGGGCGUGUAGGCGGUCCGCUAAGUCUGAUGUGAAAGCCCGAGGCUUACCCUCGGAAGUGCAUUGGAGACUGGCGGACUGGAGUCCCGGAGAGGAGGGUGGAAUUCCUGGUGUAGCGGUGAAAUGCGUAGAUAUCAGGAGGAACACCGGUGGCGAAGGCGGCCCUCUGGACGGUGACUGACGCUGAGACGCGAAAGCGUGGGGAGCAAACAGG
This 253-nucleotide ribosomal RNA is filed under the name uncultured bacterium. Its description in RNAcentral is "partial 16S ribosomal RNA". It matches the Rfam family "Bacterial small subunit ribosomal RNA", at positions 524 to 776 of the family's 1533-position model. The record is from RNAcentral.